This 453-nucleotide ribosomal RNA is filed under the name uncultured Prevotella sp. RNAcentral describes it as "bacterial SSU rRNA". It matches the Rfam family "Bacterial small subunit ribosomal RNA", at positions 341 to 792 of the family's 1533-position model. Lineage: Bacteria; Pseudomonadati; Bacteroidota; Bacteroidia; Bacteroidales; Prevotellaceae. The record is from RNAcentral.
ACGGGAGGCAGCAGUGAGGAAUAUUGGUCAAUGGGCGAGAGCCUGAACCAGCCAAGUAGCGUGCAGGAUGACGGCCCUAUGGGUUGUAAACUGCUUUGUAUGGGGAUAAAUUGCUCCACGAGUGGAGUAUUGCAGGUACCAUACGAAUAAGGACCGGCUAAUUCCGUGCCAGCAGCCGCGGUAAUACGGAAGGUCCGGGCGUUAUCCGGAUUUAUUGGGUUUAAAGGGAGCGUAGGCCGUGGAUUAAGUGUGUUGUGAAAUGUAGGCGCUCAACGUCUGACUUGCAGCGCAUACUGGUCCACUUGAGUGCGCGCAACGCGGGCGGAAUUUGUCGUGUAGCGGUGAAAUGCUUAGAUAUGACGAAGAACCCCGAUUGCGAAGGCAGCUCGCGGGAGCGCAACUGACGCUGAAGCUCGAAAGUGCGGGUAUCGAACAGGAUUAGAUACCCUGGUA